ACGGGAGGCAGCAGUCGGGAAUAUUGCGCAAUGGAGGGAACUCUGACGCAGUGACGCCGCGUAUAGGAAGAAGGUUUUCGGAUUGUAAACUAUUGUCGUUAGGGAAGAAAGAAAUGACAGUACCUAAGGAGGAAGCUCCGGCUAACUAUGUGCCAGCAGCCGCGGUAAUACGUAGGUGGCAAGCGUUAUCCGGAUUUACUGGGUGUAAAGGGCGCGUAGGCGGGGAUGCAAGUCAGGUGUGAAAUCUAUGGGCUUAACCCAUAAACUGCAUUUGAAACUGUAUCUCUUGAGUGUCGGAGAGGUAGAUGGAAUUCCUAGUGUAGCGGUGAAAUGCGUAGAUAUUAGGAGGAACACCAGUGGCGAAGGCGAUCUACUGGACGAUAACUGACGCUGAGGCGCGAAAGCGUGGGGAGCAAACAGGAUUAGAUACCCUGGUA
This 437-nucleotide ribosomal RNA is filed under the name uncultured Oscillospiraceae bacterium. Its description in RNAcentral is "bacterial SSU rRNA". It matches the Rfam family "Bacterial small subunit ribosomal RNA", at positions 341 to 792 of the family's 1533-position model. Lineage: Bacteria; Bacillati; Bacillota; Clostridia; Eubacteriales; Oscillospiraceae. The record is from RNAcentral.